Molecule: small nucleolar RNA, 96 nt
Organism: Catharus ustulatus (Swainson's thrush)
Lineage: Eukaryota; Metazoa; Chordata; Aves; Passeriformes; Turdidae
Source: Ensembl
ACUGCCCACAAGUCAUGUAACCUGGCUGUUGCCCAGGACAGUGUUAGUGGAAGGCAGUGGGUACACUGGUUAUGCUUUGAGAAAUAGCCAGAGGCA